GACGAACGCUGGCGGCGUGCUUAACACAUGCAAGUCGAACGGAAAGGCCCUGCUUUUGUGGGGUGCUCGAGUGGCGAACGGGUGAGUAACACGUGAGUAACCUGCCCUUGACUUUGGGAUAACUUCAGGAAACUGGGGCUAAUACCGGAUAGGAGCUCCUGCUGCAUGGUGGGGGUUGGAAAGUUUCGGCGGUUGGGGAUGGACUCGCGGCUUAUCAGCUUGUUGGUGGGGUAGUGGCUUACCAAGGCUUUGACGGGUAGCCGGACUGAGAGGGUGACCGGCCACAUAGGGACUGAGAUACGGCCCAGACUCCUACGGGAGGCAGCAGUGGGGAAUAUUGAACAAGGGGCGGAAGCCUGAUGCAGCAACGCCGCGUGCGGGAUGACGGCCUUCGGGUUGUUAACCGCUUUCGCCUGUGACGAAGCGUGAGUGAAGGUAAUGGGUAAAGAAGCACCGGCUAACUACGUG
This 468-nucleotide ribosomal RNA is filed under the name uncultured bacterium. RNAcentral's name for it is "partial 16S ribosomal RNA". It matches the Rfam family "Bacterial small subunit ribosomal RNA", at positions 28 to 507 of the family's 1533-position model. The record is from RNAcentral.